CCCUGCCUCCUCCCUGGUCUCUCACAGGAUGUUUUCUUUCCGCAGUUGGAAAAGGAGGGAGCUAUGCUCAGGCUGCCACGUGAGGCAGCUGCCUUGUGGGGACUGAGUGAUGGAAAAUGUGUUCACGCUCCCACUUCCUGACUCAAGAACCUCUGAUUGGGGGGCUGGCCCAGCCCUGCUCCCCACACUUUCCUGUCAGCAGAGGCGGGCUGGGCCCUCCCCAUCCCUUCCUUUACUCCCUGGGGCUCUGAGCUACAACUUCCUGCUUUGUAUUGAAAUGAGACUGUGGAUUGACCUCGUGUUUUAAUUCUUGCCAUGACUGGUGACGUGUAAUUAAAGGAGACCCUUUAAUUAAUUAUUUUCUCAGAGGAAAUAAAUGGAAGCACCAAGGAUUCUGC
This is a long non-coding RNA of Myotis brandtii (Brandt's bat), 398 nucleotides long. RefSeq lists it as uncharacterized. The transcript has 2 exons. The record is from RefSeq and is a predicted model, not a curated record. NCBI's taxonomy places the organism in Eukaryota, Metazoa, Chordata, Mammalia, Chiroptera, Vespertilionidae.